CGGCACCUCAAGUGGUCAGGAUGAUUAUUGGGCCUAAAGCAUCCGUAGCCGGCGCUGUAAGUUUUCGGUUAAAUCUGUACGCUCAACGUACAGGCUGCCGGGAAUACUGCAGCGCUAGGGAGUGGGAGAGGUAGACGGUACUCGGUAGGAAGGGGUAAAAUCCUUUGAUCUAUUGAUGACCACCUGUGGCGAAGGCGGUCUACCAGAACACGUCCGACGGUGAGGGACGAAAGCUAGGGGAGCGAACCGGAUUAGAGACCCGAGUAGUCC
This 270-nucleotide ribosomal RNA is filed under the name uncultured archaeon. Its description in RNAcentral is "partial 16S ribosomal RNA". It matches the Rfam family "Archaeal small subunit ribosomal RNA", at positions 477 to 747 of the family's 1478-position model. The record is from RNAcentral.